RNAcentral lists this ribosomal RNA (497 nucleotides) under uncultured bacterium. RNAcentral describes it as "partial 16S ribosomal RNA". It matches the Rfam family "Bacterial small subunit ribosomal RNA", at positions 28 to 507 of the family's 1533-position model. The record is from RNAcentral.
GAUGAACGCUGGCGGCGUGCCUAAUACAUGCAAGUCGAGCGAACAGACGGGGAGCUUGCUCCUUUGACGUUAGCGGCGGACGGGUGAGUAACACGUGGGUAACCUACCUAUAAGACUGGGAUAACUUCGGGAAACCGGAGCUAAUACCGGAUAAUAUUUCGAACCGCAUGGUUCGAUAGUGAAAGAUGGCUCUGCUAUCACUUAUAGAUGGACCUGCGCCGUAUUAGCUAGUUGGUAAGGUAACGGCUUACCAAGGCAACGAUACGUAGCCGACCUGAGAGGGGGAUCGGCCACACGGGAACGGAAACACGGUCCAGACUCCUACGGGAGGCAGCAGUCGGGAAUCUGCCGCAGUGGGCGAAAGCCUGACGGAGCAACGCCGCGUGAGUGAUGAAGGUCUUCGGAUCGUAAAACUCUGUUAUUAGGGAAGAACAAACGUGUAAGUAGCUGUGCACGUCUUGACGGUACCUAAUCAGAAAGCCACGGCUAACUACGUG